Molecule: ribosomal RNA, 494 nt
Filed under: uncultured bacterium
Lineage: Bacteria
Description: partial 16S ribosomal RNA
Rfam family: Bacterial small subunit ribosomal RNA
Source: RNAcentral
AUUGAACGCUGGCGGCAUGCUUUACACAUGCAAGUCGAACGGCAGCGGGGAGGAGCUUGCUUCUCUGCCGGCGAGUGGCGAACGGGUGAGUAAUACAUCGGAACGUGUCGAGAAGAGGGGGAUAACCACCCGAAAGGGUGGCUAAUACCGCAUAAAUUCUGAGGAAGAAAGCUGGGGACCUAGGAAUAGGCCUAGCGCUUUUUGAGCGGCCGAUGUCGGAUUAGCUAGUUGGUGAGGUAAAGGCUCACCAAGGCGAAGAUCUGUAGCGGGUCUGAGAGGAUGACCCGCCACACUGGGACUGAGACACGGCCCAGACUCCUACGGGAGGCAGCAGUGGGGAAUUUUGGACAAUGGGGGCAACCCUGAUCCAGCCAUGCCGCGUGUAUGAAGAAGGCCUUAGGGUUGUAAAGUACUUUUGUUAGGGAAGAAAAGUCAGCUGUGAAUAAUGGCUGAUACUGACGGUACCUAAAGAAUAAGCACCGGCUAACUACGUG